GUGUGGGACUCAUUCCACGAGUUCCGUGCCGCAGCUAACGCAUUAAGUGCCCCGCCUGGGGAGUACGGCCGCAAGGCUAAAACUCAAAGGAAUUGACGGGGGCCCGCACAAGCGGCGGAGCAUGCGGAUUAAUUCGAUGCAACGCGAAGAACCUUACCAAGGCUUGACAUACACCGGAAACAUCCAGAGAUGGGUGCCCCGCAAGGUCGGUGUACAGGUGGUGCAUGGUUGUCGUCAGCUCGUGUCGUGAGAUGUUGGGUUAAGUCCCGCAACGAGCGCAACCCUCGUCCUAUGUUGCCAGCACGUGAUGGUGGGGACUCAUAGGAGACUGCCGGGGUCAACUCGGAGGAAGGUGAGGAUGACGUCAAAUCAUCAUGCCCCUUAUGUCUUGGGCUUCACGCAUGCUACAAUGGCCGGUACAAAGGGCUGCGAUACCGCGAGGUGGAGCGAAUCCCAAAAAGCCGGUCUCAGUUCGGAUUGGGGUCUGCAACUCGACCCCAUGAAGUCGGAGUCGCUAGUAAUCGCAGAUCAGCAACGCUGCGGUGAAUACGUUCCCGGGCCUUGUACACACCGCCCGUCAAGUCACGAAAGUCGGUAACACCCGAAGCCGGUGGCCCAACCCUUGUGGAGGGAGCCGUCGAAGGUGGGGCUG
This 652-nucleotide ribosomal RNA is filed under the name uncultured bacterium. RNAcentral's name for it is "bacterial SSU rRNA". It matches the Rfam family "Bacterial small subunit ribosomal RNA", at positions 820 to 1470 of the family's 1533-position model. The record is from RNAcentral.